AAAUUGUUAGCAGAAUGCUGCUGAAAGUUAAAAAGAGUUUUAGUAUGGAAAAAUUAAUGUUAAUAAUCUCAACUAUGGAAGAUCUUCUCAUUUUAAUCCCAACUAUGAUUUAACCUGGAAUAAUUCCAACUACACCAACAACUUUCUUAAAAUAGUCUCACUCAUUUAUUAACCUGUUGUACCCGGUAAUUUGAUGGCGUCACUUAAUUCUUCUCGCCAUAGCUUCCCUUGUUUGAUGGGGAAAGAUUCCCCAACUGCAAUACCCCAUUUUAUUUGGUAAAUUAUCACGCCAUGUUCUACAUCCCUCUCUUUCUCUUUUUUUUCUUUUGAGUUUCACUCCCUCUCCAUUAAUUCUUAAUUAUGGGCUUCAACUUCUUCUUGUAUGCUGAAUUGGAUUUAAACUAACAAAUAUUAUUCAAUCAAUCAUGGAUAAUAUAACUCUAAUUAAAUAAGGAAAAGUUGUUAAGAUUGGUAAUUUGUCAUUUUCAAAGUUCCCACGAGAGAGUGCCUGAAGCACAUUUCAAAACACGUCUACCUUAUUGGGAAACUAAUGCAACAAAGGUAGGAAAUAAUUCAAUAUAUUCUUAUGAUUUUUAAUUAUUUCCAUGUCUAAUAUGUAUUUCUGAAAUGAGCAAGGAACCUCGAGAAUAACCUGGAACUCUUGAUUCAAUUGGUGCUUCACUUGAAUGACUACGGAAAAAGGAUCCUAGCUUGACUGCAGAAAUGAUUGCAGCAGUUUGGUGUCUACACUUUCUACAGACCACUCUCUUUAUUGGUCAUGGUUACAUAUAGACAGGUAUAUGAGUGGUUGUUUUACUACACUUCAACCCAAAUUGUUUCACUGAAGGCCUUCGUGGAGAUGGUAAUAGAAGGAGAAUGGUAGAUAAAAGGAUGGCUGGAAGGGCAUAUGUUGAAGUUCUUUUAGAUUGAUUUUGAACAAAUAAACUAAAUACUAGAUAGGUUUUAGAUUGCUUGAACUAUUAGUUCUUUUUAGAGAUUCAUUGGUUUUCUUAAUUGAUGUAUUUAUGUUAUAACAAUGGUUUUUGUUAUUAGAAUGAUUGAUAUGGAUAUUUUAUUUUAAUAAUAAGUAAAAUUUAAUUUGA
Spinacia oleracea (spinach) is the source of this 1103-nucleotide long non-coding RNA. RefSeq lists it as uncharacterized. The record is from RefSeq and is a predicted model, not a curated record. Lineage: Eukaryota; Viridiplantae; Streptophyta; Magnoliopsida; Caryophyllales; Amaranthaceae. The transcript is spliced from 3 exons.